AUGGCUCUAGCUCUUCUGUACCUAGUCUUUCUCCAUUUCCUGGUUUCAGAAAAUGCACUGCUGCAGCAAGAAUUAAGCCUGACCAAGGCAGCCAGCAAAACUGCUCUCAUCCGGUGUCAUGUGAAAGACCUCCGCAGUCCUUACCUCCACUGGUACGUUCACCCAGAGGGAGAGACUUUGACCCGGGUGUUGUACAUGGCGACCGGCAGUGAGAGAACGCCGGAGAUGAGAAAACAAAAUAAACGGUGGAUCAGUGAACCUGGUUUCGAGAAGUUCACUGUGGAGACGGCGGUCGGCGGCCAAACGUACACGUUGAUGAUUUCUGACUUAAAGACCAAUAACUCAGGCACCUACUACUGUGCCCACCUGGACUCCCACAGUGUUCGCCUCCCAAGCAAAUUCUCUACUAAAACUGUUGCUAAUACGUCCAAUUCCACCGCGUGA
Molecule: non-coding RNA, 444 nt
Organism: Esox lucius (northern pike)
Lineage: Eukaryota; Metazoa; Chordata; Actinopteri; Esociformes; Esocidae
Source: the annotation of a RefSeq genome assembly